AUUGAACGCUGGCGGCAUGCCUUACACAUGCAAGUCGAGCGGCAGCGCGGGGGCAACCCUGGCGGCGAGCGGCGGACGGGUGAGUAAUGCAUCGGAACGUGUCCUCUUGUGGGGGAUAACCAGUCGAAAGACUGGCUAAUACCGCAUGAGCUCGUAAGAGGAAAGCAGGGGACCCGCAAGGGCCUUGCGCGAGAGGAGCGGCCGAUGCCCGAUUAGCAGUUGGCGGGGUAAAAGCCCACCAAGGCGACGAUCGGUAGCUGGUCUGAGAGGACGACCAGCCACACUGGGACUGAGACACGGCCCAGACUCCUACGGGAGGCAGCAGUGGGGAAUUUUGGACAAU
RNAcentral lists this ribosomal RNA (343 nucleotides) under uncultured bacterium. RNAcentral's name for it is "bacterial SSU rRNA". It matches the Rfam family "Bacterial small subunit ribosomal RNA", at positions 29 to 372 of the family's 1533-position model. The record is from RNAcentral.